Molecule: long non-coding RNA, 1209 nt
Organism: Callithrix jacchus (white-tufted-ear marmoset)
Lineage: Eukaryota; Metazoa; Chordata; Mammalia; Primates; Cebidae
Source: RefSeq, a predicted model, not a curated record
CCUCUGGCUGCAUCCUCUGACUUCAGAGCCAGUGAUGCAGGGUUGUGAUUAAGAGUUUAGGCUGGAGUCCUGCUGCCAUGUUAACCUAAGAACAGAGCUCUGAAGUAAAGAAGCAGGUUCCCAUUUCAGUAGACACUUCCAGUGCGCUGUUGGAACACACCAGUUGUAUCUUCAUCCUCCAUUUCCAACUGUGCAGGCUUGACUCCUCUCUGGGCCUCCAACUUCAUGAAACCACAUGGUCUUCGCGGAUUAGGGGUUCGUUGCACUAACGGAAAAGACGCUCCGCCUCCCCUCUCGGGAACCUGAGGCCAUUAAAGUAGGAAAUGCUCCGCGGGAAUUCCCCAACCCCCAGGCCCAGGACGGCGGCCCACGGGCAUCCAGGAUCCUGCCCAUCAGCAGCCCAUUGAUUCGCCCAGAAGCCUCGCCCCGCCGCCGCGGCCCCCACCCCUAAGAGGUGAAGCCCCGAUCCCAGGGGACUCCCCGUCGCCUCGGAGACUGCAAUACCCGAUGCGAGGUCCGCGGAGGGCGGAGACCCCGCGCGUCGUAACGCCUCUCCUCACCACAACGGCUGGCGGGGCCAAGAAGCCCGGCUCGGAGCUGGUGGGCCCACGGCGUCCGUCAUCUGCCCGCCCAACUCGCACCCCACGCGCACUCGGAGGCCGCCGGGGGCUAAUCUACUUUUUGUCUGAAUAGAUUUGCUCAUUCUGGACAUUUCAUACAUAUGGCUUCUUUCACUCAGCACCUUUUCAAGAUGUAUCCAUGGUGUAGCAUUUAUUAGGAUUUCAUGUAUUUUCAUUGCCAAAUAAUGCUUUAUUGAGUGCAAACACCCUCUGCCUGCUUUUGAUUUGUGUGACUACAUUUUCAAGUGUUCACUUGUCUGCCUUUUACAAAUUAGAGAGACAGGCAUAUACAACUUCUUUUAAAAAACGAGACAAGAAAAAAACUUAAUCAACGGUAGUUCUGACCCUAUCAGUGAUGCUUAGAAACCAUUAUUUUAAACAAAUGAAGAUAAGUCAUUCACACUUUGUAGGGAUCAUAAUCCAGAGAAAAACAUAAGGAGGCUAUUUAGAAAGACCAUUAAAUAUUGGAAGGUUUGACUUUCCUAGUAAAGCACUGAGAAGCCGAAGUCCCUAACCCCCACCUAAGCGUAUGUUUCCAUUCAGCGUCCACUAACCUGAGAUUGAUAAAAUCAAGAAUACAAUACUAUAU